CGCCCGUAGACUCGAUCAGUACGCGAACUUCAUCUACUGGUGAGGAUUAGAUCGAAGCUCACCCUCGAUCACUCCCAAAUGAUCCAAACUCGCGAAGAUGCACAAAAGACCUAGGGCAUUGUGGUUGUCCUUCCUGUCGUUGGCGGAACUCCCUAGGCGAGUACGAACUAAUAAGGCUAAAUGAUUCCAGAAGGGUAGCCUUUUCAAGCAAAUGGAAGAGGCAAGCAUCGGGAAUAGAAGAUGCGCAAGUUUGACGGCUUUAUUAUGUGGUCGUACGGGACUGUUGGUAUUAGUCUCCGGUUAUGCUCUUUUGGGAGCUCUCCUCUUCAAAACAUUGGAAGGUGGCGACGAGGGAAAUCUCCCUUUUCAUAUACAACGUAGCAGAGAAGAUUGCCUAAGAGAACUCUGGUUAA
This is a long non-coding RNA of Photinus pyralis (common eastern firefly), 413 nucleotides long. RefSeq lists it as uncharacterized. Lineage: Eukaryota; Metazoa; Arthropoda; Insecta; Coleoptera; Lampyridae. The transcript is spliced from 4 exons. The record is from RefSeq and is a predicted model, not a curated record.